This is a long non-coding RNA of Cyprinus carpio (common carp), 1182 nucleotides long. The record is from Ensembl. NCBI's taxonomy places the organism in Eukaryota, Metazoa, Chordata, Actinopteri, Cypriniformes, Cyprinidae.
AAGUGCAACUUAAGUUUAAAAGCCUGGAGUGUCUUCAAAGAUAGAUCUUUGUGUCAUGGAGAUUUAUCGAUUGGUGGGAGGAAGUGUUCGAUGUGAGAUGUUUCAGAGUUUCCAGGUACUGACUCUAUAGUGUGGUGGAAAAAUCUCUCUAGAGCAUUAACACCAUCUUUUUUUCAGGUGCAUUCACCUGGAGACUGGCAAACACAGCUGAGAUUGGCGAGAUGUCUGGAAUAACAUUGCUGCACCCAUAGAAGGCCCGACUCUCAGUCUCCAUUUAUUGCGCAAAUGAUUUCAUUGCCAUAUCUGCCAUUUGUUUGCGUUGGCCCGUGUAAAAUCAUAUCUCGUGUAUUGAUGGAUUACACAAUGGAGCCAGUAUGUGUCAUAUUAUGCAAGCUAUCAAAACCGCACUAGGUAAGAAACCAAAUAGCAGUGAUUGUUUCCAAGUGUGUUUUAUGAUUAAUCCAGACUUGUAAUGCUGAUUCAUAUCUUUUAGGAGUUUUUUCUGACUCUGCUGGCAGAUCUAUCGUCAACCACUCUCACCUCCGGGUUUGUUUGUGGUCUGGAUAGAUCCUUAUCAGCACAGGAGCCCUGUAGACUAAAGAGGGAUUGGGCUUGAUUUGUACUUCCCUCUUGACAAAUGACAUAAAUACACAUUAAGCAGUGAAAGCAUUUGUUUUAGGAACUCUUUAAAACACCUCCAGAGGCCAAGAAAUGCUCCAUAAAACAAAGACGUUGCAGUGCUUUUUAAGAUGGGAUGGGGAGUGGGGUGCAGAGGCAUGGAGUUGAGGUUUUGGAUGGCAGCAGAGGAACUCUGACCACAUGAAGACGCCUAGUAGCUUGCUCUGAAAGAUUUUGACUUUGUCAUUUCACAUCAUUUCAUUUAAUUUAUUUCAGGGUCUGAUGGUCUCAACCUCAGAUGUCAUACCCUUGGGCUGGCAAGAGUUUGUUUGAUCUUCGUCUGAUUAUAAUUGCACACUGGAAAGCAUUUCUUGAUCAGGGUUUUGGUGGUCUCCAGGAAGAGGGGGACGGAAAGGUUCACUUACAGGCUAUGAAUGACUCCAAUCAAAUGACUACUCUGCUAUGGCCUUCUCUCAGUAACAGACAACAUACUCAAAAGAGUCUGCUAGAGAGAAAGAGAGAGUGAGAACGAUAGCGUAACUCCAUGUGAGACAGAGGGGGAGG